UGAGGAAUAUUGCGCAAUGGGGGCAACCCUGACGCAGCAACGCCGCGUGGAGGAUGAAGGUCUUCGGAUUGUAAACUCCUUUUCUUGGGGAAGAGAACGGACGGUACCUGAGGAAUAAGUCACGGCUAACUACGUGCCAGCAGCCGCGGUAAUACGUAGGUGGCAAGCGUUAUCCGGAAUUACUGGGCGUAAAGCGCAUGCAGGCGGCUUGGUAAGUCUGACGUGAAAGCUCCUGGCUUAACCGGGAGAGGUCGUUGGAGACUGCUGAGCUUGAGGCGAUGAGAGGGGUGCGGGAAUUCCCGGUGUAGUGGUGGAAUGCGUGGAUAUCGGGAGGAACACCAGUGGCGAAAGCGGCACCCUGGCAUCGGCCUGACGCUCAUGUGCGAAGGCGUGGGGAGCGAACGGGAUUAGAUACCCCGGUAGUCCACGGCGGUAAACGAUGAGCACGUGGGUCGUGGGGAGUCGUAAAGCUGUCCGUGCCGAAGCCAACGCGUUAAG
RNAcentral lists this ribosomal RNA (498 nucleotides) under uncultured Chloroflexota bacterium. RNAcentral's name for it is "bacterial SSU rRNA". It matches the Rfam family "Bacterial small subunit ribosomal RNA", at positions 355 to 864 of the family's 1533-position model. The record is from RNAcentral. Lineage: Bacteria; Bacillati; Chloroflexota.